Molecule: RNA transcript, 2727 nt
Organism: Piliocolobus tephrosceles (Ugandan red Colobus)
Lineage: Eukaryota; Metazoa; Chordata; Mammalia; Primates; Cercopithecidae
Gene name: cytosolic phospholipase A2 zeta-like
Exons: 13
Source: RefSeq, a predicted model, not a curated record
GCUCUCGGCAGCUCCUGCUGACAGUGCCUGGGGCCUACGAGAAGCCACAGCUCUUGCCCCUGCAGCCUCCCACAGAGCCAGGCCUCCAACCCACCUUUACCUUCCAUGUGAACCCAGUGCUGAGCUCCAGGCUACACGUGGAGCUGAUGGAGCAGCUCUCGGCUGUGCAGAGCGACCCCAGCGCGGAGCUGGAGGCUCAGACCAGCAAGCUGGGCCAGGGGGGCAUCCUGCUCUCCUCUCUGCCCCCAGGCCAGGAGGAACAGUGUUCUGUGGCCCUGGGGGAGGGCCAGGAGGUGGCUCUGAGUGUGAAGGUGGAAAUGAGCUCCGGGGACCUAGACCUACGCCUUGGCUUUGACCUCUGCCACGGGGAGCAGGAGUUUCUGGACAGGAGGAAGCAGGUCGUGGCCAAGGCCCUGCAGCAGGUGCUGGGAUUGAGUGAGGCUCCGGACAGUGGCCAGGUUCCUGUAGUGGCUGUGUUGGGUUCCGGGGGUGGAACCCGAGCCAUGUCUUCUCUGUACGGCAGCCUGGCAGGGUUGCAGGAGCUCGGCCUGCUAGACACUGUGACCUACCUGAGUGGGAUCUCUGGGUCCGCCUGGUGCAUCUCCACACUCUACAGGGACCCAGCCUGGUCCCAGGUGGCCUUGCAGGGCCCCAUGGAACGUGCCCAGGUUCACGUCUGCAGCAGUAAGAUGGGAGCUUUGUCCACGGAGCGGCUGCAGUACUACACUCAGGAACUGGGGGUCCGGGAGCGCAGUGGCCACAGCAUGUCGCUCGUCGACCUCUGGGGCCUCCUUGUGGAGUAUUUCCUGUACCAGGAGGAGAACCCUGCCAAGCUGUCUGACCAACAGGAGGCGGUCCGCCAGGGUCAGAACCCUUACCCCAUUUACACCAGCGUCAACGUCCGCACCAACAUGAGUGGGGAAGAUUUUGCAGAGUGGUGCGAGUUCACACCCUACGAGGUCAGCUUCCCCAAGUACGGGGCUUAUGUUCCCACCGAGCUCUUUGGCUCAGAGCUUUUCAUGGGACGAUUGCUACCUGCAAGGCCCUGACUGACAUGGGGUGGGGCCCUGCCUGUCUCCUUAGGUGUGUGGGGCAGCGCCUUUGCCACCAGCCUGGAUGAGAUCUUCCUAAAGACUGCGGGCUCGGGCCUCAGCUUCCUGGAGUGGUACAGAGGCAGUGUGAAUAUCACAGAUGACUGCCAGAAGCCUCAGCCGCACAACCCAUCGAGGCUGUGAACAAGGCUCCUUACCCCGCAGGGGCCCUUCUCCCAGGCUGUGCUGGACAUAUUCACCUCCCGCCUCACUUCUGCCCAGAGCUUUCACUUCACCCGGGGUCUCUGCUUGCACAAGGACUAUGUGGCUGGCAGAGAGUUCGUGGCCUGGAAAGACACACACCCAGACGCCUUCCCCAACCAGCUCACCCCGAUGCGGGACUGCCUGUACCUGGUGGACGGAGGCUUUGCCAUCAACUCUCCGUUCCCACUGGCUCUGCGGCCUCAGAGAGCGGUGGACCUCAUUCUGUCCUUUGACUAUUCCUUGGAAGCUCCUUUUGAGGUCUUGAAGAUGACAGAGAAGUACUGCCUGGACCGAGGAAUCCCCUUCCCUAGCAUCGAGGUGGGCCCUGAAGACAUGGAGGAGGCCCGUGAGUGCUAUCUGUUUGCCAAGGCUGAGGACCCCCGCUCCCCCAUCGUGCUGCACUUCCCCCUUGUCAACCGUACCUUCCGCACACACCUGGCCCCAGGUGUGGAGCGACAAACAGCUGAGGAGAAGGCCUUUGGGGACUUUGUCAUCAACAGGCCAGACACCCCCUAUGGCAUGAUGAACUUCACCUACGAGCCCCAGGACUUUGAUCGGCUGGUGGCCCUGAGUCGAUACAAUGUUCUGAACAACGUGGAGACCUUGAAGCGUGCCCUCCAGCUGGCUCUGGACCGGCACCAGGUUCGGGAGAGGACUGGGGGCUGACCAAGGCAGGAGGCGGAGGACUGUGACAGAGAGGAGACACCCUGCUCGUGGCCAGGGCUCGUCGAGGGAGGAGCAAUGGGGACGCUGUGCGGGGUCUGCUUUCCUUCUCUCCAGGACCUGCCUCGAGGUGCCCCAGGCCCCGGAAAGCUCUUGCAGAAUUGCAGCUUGGACUUGGGGCAGGGCUCUCCUUGCGCGUUCUUUGGAGAAGAUGGGCAGUAGAUCUCUCCAGGGGCUCUUGGGGAUGUAGGGCAGAAGAGAGCAGCACUCAUCUCACAGCGGGGUGUGGAGAGAAUCAGGUGAGCCACAGGGCCCACCCCAGACACAGAAGCACCUCAGAGGGCCCAGGUUCUCAGCCCAGGGGCUGAGGGCAUCGAGAAGCCAGCUGUCCUCCUUACACUGAGACGGAAAGCAGAGAUGCAUCCACCCACACUUCCUGCAGAGUGGCCCAAGUCCCAACCCUACCUUGAGCUCUUGGAUGCACUGCUAUCAAGAGCAAUGCGGGGCCAAGUGGGGGUGGCCAGCCUAUGUCGCUGACUCCAUCAUCCUAACCCUCCAUCUGCCUUCUGGCCUCCUCCCAGAUUACCCUUCUCUUCCCAGAGCCCUAAAGCCUGUGGGGUGAUGGCCCAUUCCGGCUGCUCCAGGUGGGAGAUGUGCGCAUGUCUCCCUGCCAAUUACCCAGGCUUCACUCUUCGAGCCUGGGCCACAGUCUCUGGUCAUGUGUGUAUGGCCACGUCAUGCAAGUAUACUCUCACCAUUCCUAGUAGCU